RNAcentral lists this transfer RNA (75 nucleotides) under Trichomalopsis sarcophagae. Its description in RNAcentral is "tRNA-OTHER". Lineage: Eukaryota; Metazoa; Arthropoda; Insecta; Hymenoptera; Pteromalidae. The record is from RNAcentral.
AGCGUCAGUGGCUCAGUUGGUUAAGGCGCACAACUUACACUCAAGGGGUCGUGGGUUCGAUCCCCGGUGAAGUUA